RNAcentral lists this ribosomal RNA (435 nucleotides) under uncultured bacterium. RNAcentral's name for it is "partial 16S ribosomal RNA". It matches the Rfam family "Bacterial small subunit ribosomal RNA", at positions 29 to 507 of the family's 1533-position model. The record is from RNAcentral.
AGCGAACGCUGGCGGCAGGCUUAACACAUGCAAGUCGAACGGGCAUAGCAAUAUGUCAGUGGCAGACGGGUGAGUAACGCGUGGGAACGUACCUUUUGGUUCGGAACAACACAGGGAAACUUGUGCUAAUACCGGAUAAGCCCUUACGGGGAAAGAUUUAUCGCCGAAAGAUCGGCCCGCAUCUGAUUAGCUAGUUGGUAGGGUUAUGGCCUACCAAGGCGACGAUCAGUAGCUGGUCUGAGAGGAUGAUCAGACACAUUGGGACUGAGACCCGGCCCAAAAUCCUACAGAAUGGAGCAGAGGCGGAUAUAGGACAACAGACUAAAUGCUGAACCACCCAGGCCUGGAGAGUGAUGUAGUCGCUAGAGAAGUGCAGCACGUUUGUACGGGAAGGUAAUGACGGUACCGAAAGAAUAAGCACCGGCUAACUUCGUG